RNAcentral lists this ribosomal RNA (408 nucleotides) under uncultured bacterium. Its description in RNAcentral is "partial 16S ribosomal RNA". It matches the Rfam family "Bacterial small subunit ribosomal RNA", at positions 29 to 526 of the family's 1533-position model. The record is from RNAcentral.
AGUGAACGCUGGCGGCGUGACUAAUACAUGCAAGUCGAAGGAAGUGGCGCACGGGUGAGUAAUAUAUAGCUACUCUGCCCCUUGCUGGAGGACAACAGUUAGAAAUGACUGCUAAUACUCCAUAGCAAGGGAUGAGACUAUAUCGUAUCAGCUAGUCGGUGGGGUAACGGCCUACCGAGGCUAUGACGCGUAACUGGUCUGAGAGGAUGGUCAGUCACAUUGGAACUGAGGCACCGUCCAAACUCCGACGGGAGGCAGCAGGAGGGAAGAUUGCGCAAUGGGGGAAUCCCUGAGGAAGCAACGCCGCGUGGAGAAUGACACUUUUCGGAGCGUAAACUCCUUUUGUUAGGGAAGCGGUACCUAACGAAUAAGCACCGGCUAACUCCGUGCCAGCAGCCGCGGUAAUUC